RNAcentral lists this ribosomal RNA (468 nucleotides) under uncultured bacterium. RNAcentral describes it as "partial 16S ribosomal RNA". It matches the Rfam family "Bacterial small subunit ribosomal RNA", at positions 28 to 507 of the family's 1533-position model. The record is from RNAcentral.
GACGAACGCUGGCGGCGUGCUUAACACAUGCAAGUCGAACGGAAAGGCCCUGCUUUUGUGGGGUGCUCGAGUGGCGAACGGGUGAGUAACACGUGAGUAACCUGCCCUGGACUUGGGGAUACCUCCAGGAAACGGGGGCUAAUACCGGAAAGGGGCUCCUGCUGCUGGGGGGGGGUUGGAAAUUUUCGGCGGUUGGGGAUGGACUCGCGGCUUAUCAGCUUGUUGGUGGGGUAGUGGCUUACCAAGGCUUUGACGGGUAGCCGGCCUGAGAGGGUGACCGGCCACAUUGGGACUGAGAUACGGCCCAGACUCCUACGGGAGGCAGCAGUGGGGAAUAUUGCACAAUGGGCGGAAGCCUGAUGCAGCAACGCCGCGUGCGGGAUGACGGCCUUCGGGUUGUAAACCGCUUUCGCCUGUGACGAAGCGUGAGUGACGGUAAUGGGUAAAGAAGCACCGGCUAACUACGUG